RNAcentral lists this ribosomal RNA (389 nucleotides) under uncultured bacterium. RNAcentral's name for it is "partial 16S ribosomal RNA". It matches the Rfam family "Bacterial small subunit ribosomal RNA", at positions 523 to 918 of the family's 1533-position model. The record is from RNAcentral.
AUACGGAGGUUCCGAGCGUUAUCCGGAUUUACUGGGUGUAAAGGGAGCGUAGACGGUUUGGCAAGUCUGAUGUGAAAGCCCGGGGCUCAACCGCGGGACUGCAUUGGAAACUGUCAGACUUGAGUGCAGGAGAGGAAAGUGGAAUUCCUAGUGUAGCGGUGAAAUGCGUAGAUAUUAGGAGGAACACCGGUGGCGAAGGCGGCUUACUGGACUGUAACUGACGUUGAGGCUCGAAAGCGUGGGGAGCAAACAGGAUUAGAUGCCCUGGUAGUCCACGCCGUAAACGAUGAAUACUAGGUGUUGGAAAAAUCCAGUGCUGAAGUUAACGCAUUAAGUAUUCCGCCUGAGUAGUACGUACGCAAGUAUGAAACUCAAAGGAAUUGGCGGGG